UUAAUAUUAACCUUCUUCGCUCAUCCCGCUCGCUGCUCUCCAAACUCCGACGGAGACUCAUCCCGAUGUCUGUAAUCCAAAGAAUUUAUCAAGGUCUUCGUAAAGUUUUCAUUCUUAUCAUUUCCAUUUUCCCUUUUAUUUUUGUUCUCUAGGGUUUUCUCUAAUUUAAGAUGUUGAAAUUUCCUCUGUAAGUAUGUAUUAGAAAAAAUCGAAGCUUAGUUGCUGCUUUUAUUUUAAAUCCCUUUUUUUCUGAUUGGGUUUCUUCUAUCACCCUGUCUUUUUCUUCGUCUUUUCGUUUGUGUUUUUUUUCUUCUUCUGUACUUUUGUUGACCGUUUUACUAUGGUUUUCUUCUUAUUGGGUUUUUGUUUUUCUGUAAAAUCUUGAUUAAGCGUGUCUGGUAGUCUUAUUUCAGAAUGUGUUUCUGUGGUUUUUUUGUUCAUUUGAAAAUGUUUUGUGUGUUUGGAUGGAAGAAUCUAUCACCUGAUACUAUUAUAUUUCCUAUUUCUCUUCCACUGAUCUACAUUUUACUAAUAAGAUGAUAACUCCGGUCAAAAUCUUGGAUCUUGUCAUGGUUUUGAAUGUGUUGAUAAUUCUCUUGCUAUGGCGUUCAGCUGCCCUUAAUUUGGAAUGCAUCCCUGUAAGAUCAUUAACAAGAUUCUGGUCCAAAUGUUCUACAUCCAUCUGUUUGAUGAAAUACCUGAGAAAUCAGUUGAAACCCAGACUUCAAAUUUGAACUGGUAACUUUGGUUAGGUUGAGAUGAUUAUGUUGUGAUUUUAACUUGUAACAAAAUGGAGUUCAGGAAAUGCUAAAUCAGCUAUUGCUAUCUCUUUAUCAGAAGUUACACAGACCCAGAGAUUCUUUAGUUGUCAAAGCAGAUAAGGAGGAAGCUGAAAGAAGUUGAUCAAAAUGAAUACUUUUGGAUGAUCAUUCUGGAAAGUAUUAUAAGAUUAAAUGCAUGAAAUCUUGUCUGAUUACAUGUAAAUUCUGCAAUAUUGUAAGAUUAAGGGAACAACAAUCUGGCAAGAUUUCAAGUGAAUUUGAAGUUUAAAAAAGGAACCAAAUAAGAUGAGCAAUAUUUAUUUUCAACUUGGGGCAUUCCGAGAAUCAAACUCGGGACCUCUCGCACCCGAAGCGAGAAUCAUACCACUAGACCAAACGCCCAUGUGGCUUCAUAUGGUAGGAGUUUCUACUUUAUGGAAGUAAUAAAUGAAUGUAUGAAACAUUUUACUUUUUUCUAUAAUCAUUGUUCUUGAUUUUUUUAGCUAUAAAAUUGAGAAUAGUUGUUGCAGCCAACAAAACAACAACCAAAUCCAACUAGUAAAGUGGUAAGAGGAGGUAAAAUGUAGACAAUCAUACGAAUGUAAAAUACCUCCACCCAGGAAGUGAGGAAUUCAAGAUUCAAACUUAUGUGUGUCCGAUUAAAUUGAUGUGACCAAAUAAACAUGUUGAUAGAAGUUGGUUAUUGGGGGUCGGGUUGUCAUUUUUUUGAAAACAAUCUAUAAUGU
This is a non-coding RNA of Lactuca sativa (garden lettuce), 1507 nucleotides long. The record is from RefSeq and is a predicted model, not a curated record. NCBI's taxonomy places the organism in Eukaryota, Viridiplantae, Streptophyta, Magnoliopsida, Asterales, Asteraceae.